Molecule: ribosomal RNA, 253 nt
Filed under: uncultured bacterium
Lineage: Bacteria
Description: partial 16S ribosomal RNA
Rfam family: Bacterial small subunit ribosomal RNA
Source: RNAcentral
UACGUAGGGUGCAAGCGUUAAUCGGAAUUACUGGGCGUAAAGCGUGCGCAGGCGGUUAUGUAAGACAGGUGUGAAAUCCCAGGGCUUAACCUUGGAACUGCAUUUGUGACUGCAUAGCUAGAGUACGGUAGAGGGGGAUGGAAUUCCGCGUGUAGCAGUGAAAUGCGUAGAUAUGCGGAGGAACACCGAUGGCGAAGGCAAUCCCCUGGACCUUUACUGACGCUCAUGCACGAAAGCGUGGGGAGCAAACAGG